UCCCCAGUAGCUCAGAUGGUUAAGAAUUUGCCUGCAAUGCAAGAGACCCAGGUUCAAUCCCUGGGUCAGGAA
Bos taurus (domestic cattle) is the source of this 72-nucleotide non-coding RNA. Lineage: Eukaryota; Metazoa; Chordata; Mammalia; Artiodactyla; Bovidae. The record is from Rfam.